CCUACGGGAGGCUGCAGUGGGGAAUAUUGGACAAUGGGGGCAACCCUGAUCCAGCCAUGCCGCGUGUGUGAAGAAGGCCCUCGGGUUGUAAAGCACUUUCAGUGAGGAAGAACGCCUGGUGGUUAAUACCCAUCAGGAAAGACAUCACUCACAGAAGAAGCACCGGCUAACUCCGUGCCAGCAGCCGCGGUAAUACGGAGGGUGCGAGCGUUAAUCGGAAUUACUGGGCGUAAAGCGCGCGUAGGUGGCUUGAUAAGCCGGUUGUGAAAGCCCCGGGAUCAACCUGGGAACGGCAUCCGGAACUGUCAAGCUAGAGUGCAGGAGAGGAAGGUAGAAUUCCCGGUGUAGCGGUGAAAUGCGUAGAGAUCGGGAGGAAUACCAGUGGCGAAGGCGGCCUUCUGGACUGACACUGACACUGAGGUGCGAAAGCGUGGGUAGCAAACAGGAUUAGAUACCCGGGUAGUC
RNAcentral lists this ribosomal RNA (465 nucleotides) under Vreelandella stevensii. RNAcentral's name for it is "partial 16S ribosomal RNA". It matches the Rfam family "Bacterial small subunit ribosomal RNA", at positions 338 to 795 of the family's 1533-position model. Lineage: Bacteria; Pseudomonadati; Pseudomonadota; Gammaproteobacteria; Oceanospirillales; Halomonadaceae. The record is from RNAcentral.